GUCCCUUCGGGGACAUUUUAUAAAAUUGAAGCGAUACAGAGUAGAUUAGCAUGGCCCCUGCACAAGGAGAUUCUGCUUUGAAUUAGAAGAAUGAAAGUGAC
Non-coding RNA from Cucumis sativus (cucumber), 101 nucleotides. Lineage: Eukaryota; Viridiplantae; Streptophyta; Magnoliopsida; Cucurbitales; Cucurbitaceae. The record is from Rfam.